RNAcentral lists this long non-coding RNA (404 nucleotides) under Elaeis guineensis (African oil palm). RNAcentral describes it as "long non-coding RNA (EGUI_LNC002345)". The record is from RNAcentral. Lineage: Eukaryota; Viridiplantae; Streptophyta; Magnoliopsida; Arecales; Arecaceae.
ACCAUCUGUUGCCAUUCUUGUUUUAACAUUUGAUCUUGCUGACAUAGCAUCUUACCUAUUGAUACCAGUCUCCACCUUACUUGCUUGUACAUCAGUAAUAUAAUUGUCAUCCUCAAUCUAAAAUCCCAAUGAAGUACUAGGCCUUGAUUGGAGACCUCUAGAUGAAGCCUUAUUAGGAUAAUUCCUCCUCCGAUGACCCAUCUAUCCACACCGAUAACAUCCUCUAACUCUUUCCGAUACUCUGCUUCCUACAGGUUGAGACACCACCCUCUGUUCCAUUCUUUUCUAUUUUUGGCUGAUGGAAGUAAAAGAACCCAUGUCCGACCCUACUGGUAUUCCGAAAUUUUGAUUGGAUUGCUUAAAAAUAUUAAUUUUCUUUGAUAGCUGACUUUCUCUUAUACUCA